Molecule: long non-coding RNA, 5372 nt
Organism: Aedes albopictus (Asian tiger mosquito)
Lineage: Eukaryota; Metazoa; Arthropoda; Insecta; Diptera; Culicidae
Exons: 3
Source: RefSeq, a predicted model, not a curated record
UCAAAGCUGAGCUCAUAAAAAUCAAAAAUUGGUUAUUGUUUUAUGGAAAUUGUUUAAUCCUUUUAUGAUACAUAGCAAUUUCAAAAGUUAAAAUCACCCCUUUCAUUUGAUUGGCACUCCUGUCAUUGUUAGUCAUUUCCGUGGUCAUUUCCCUUGUUCGGUUAGUUUUGGCAGCCGGCUUCCCACUAAACCUGUGUCGGCAAAUCCCUUUUUUUCGUGUGCAGUGAUGUGUACAAAGUAAAGCACAGCCGCCAUUCAUUGCGUGACUACCGCCUUCGUCGGCAGGUCGGUCGGUCAUUCGGGUACUUGUCGUCUAGGCCGCCGUAGUAGGCGUUGCAACACCGAAAGUGUGUCUUAAAUUACAUCCACUAAAUUGGACCUUGCCGUACAUUUUCCUAGAUGAUUGACUCACUUUUCCGAAUGCCCUCACCGUAGGUUGUAGGCGUCCUCUCGAAAGGUUAGUGGAUGAAUAGGAAAUCUGACGCUUUUUGACGCUGUGAAUCCUGCCUUUUGGGUCGUGUGACUGGUCUCGAAUGUUAACUACUGGCCUGUGAUUGGUUUUGUUUGUUUUUCGACACAUUUGCGUGAGUCAUAUUCGUGGCGGUGGAGUGAACACAGGCGGUGCACUGUUGCGGCAACAUAGUAAGAACAACAAUCGCAUUCGUUGGAAACGUCAGACGCUCGCUAACCUGCAGAACAAUGACGAGUGGAUUUUCGGCAAUAUUCUGGCGGUUCUUCCACUGGGGUCCGCUGACGGCCAUUAGUGAGUAUUACUAUUUAUGUUUUCAUGGCCUACUGAGAUCCUCAGACAAAUACCAUUUCCCCACAUAUUUACCCAACUCAAAAUGACUCGCCCACUUCGAUGCCCCCAAAUCUUCACUGCAGGAAACCAAUUUCGGUAAUUAAUGUUUGCCCCGGUGUUGGUUGACUUCCGUCAACAGAGCCUAUGACCGUGGCCCGCCCUUCUCGGGGCGGGGUGCAAGGUUUCGGCUCCGUCCGGAAAAAUGUUUACCUCUCUCCUUGUGAACGCCACGCGACGGCAAAUAUUAUCACGGAUACUUUAUCGGUGAUUGCGACGUGUCGUGCUCGUUUAUGCUAAUCACUAACAUAGUGUUUUCACCGAAUCGCCUGGCGUGCUCUUACAAGCGAUUCUACACGCUGUAAUUUCAUUCUUUUGUACACUGAGAAAAAUAUAUCUCUUUUAUGUCUAUUGGGAACUUUCAAUAAUUGUCGACUUCGUAUAUGUUUAUAUAUCUGUAAGUUUCGAUUCUUGUUCUUAAGUUCUAAACCGAGAGGGAGAUUCACGUGAUUCCUAUAAAAAUGGAAACAUAAUCAUUUUUACUGAAAUUAAGAAUAGAUUUUUUUUCAGUGUACACAAAGGAUGUGUGUGCAUGUGAAAAUAUGUCGUGAAUUCUUUGGAAAGCUCUCCGUCUAUUUGUGCCAUGCCCAUGCCACUACUGACUGUGACGUGACAGGUGGGCUAUUCCUGUCGAAAGAGGCUCUUAGUUUCGUAUGAGUAAUGAUGAUUGCCACCUACUGGGGCGUGCGUUCUUGCCCAAUGGUGUUAGUUGAAAUUGCGAUGUGAUAUGAUGGCUAAAUAGGGCUGGGACAUGAACAUUAAGGACACAUGGGGGUGCGGAUGUAUGAACUGGGUCAUGACUAAUUAUAGCUAGUUUAAUGUAGGAAAUUAGGUCAUUUUUUAAUGAUAUUUCGACUUACCAAGUCAAUUAUAGAACUUUCUUUUUUUUAACACCAAUCUUUGACCAAAUUUUGGUUACCAAAGCGCUUAAUUUAUUGUUGUUCUUAAAAAAAAAUUGUGGUGGUUAGAACACAAGACUAUUACGCCGAGGACCUGGGAUCGAAUCCCACUACCGACAUACUCACAAAAUGUGGGCUCUUCCUUCGGAAGGGAAGUAAAGCGUGGGUCCCGAGAUGAACUAGCCUAGGGCUAAAAAUCUCGUUAAUACUCGUUAAUAAUAAAAAAUAAAUAAAUAAAUAAAUAGAAAUUCUUUUAGAAUAACAAUAUUCUGUCGGUCUUUAAGAAAUUGAGAGCUUCUGAAAAAUUUUACUAUGAAAAGAUGGAUCCUCAAAAUAUGUAAGUACUGUGGGACUAUGUUUUCUGGUUUAAACCAAGGAUUUAGGUAGGGCUUAUUCAAAUAACUCAGUAUUUUUAUUUGUAGAGUACCGUCGUUCGGGGUGACAUUGGGCCUAGAGGGCCUAGAGGGUCCAUCGAUCCCAUGGAUUCAAUAUAAGUCAGAGAAUCCGAUGGUGGAUGCAAAGUAUCUUAGAAUUAUGUAUUCUAGUAGUCUAGCACACAAUAUGCAUUCCCGUCGUAUUCUAAACGUGCGGAAUAGUGGCGCAAUGCCACCCCGCUUUGGCCCAAUGACACCCCGCACGACGGUAUAUAAAAGGAACCAAGUUGUGUAGCACGAUAGGGGCCAUUCUUGAACAACGUAAACCAAAUUUUGUUCAUCAGACUCCCAAGUGUAGACGACAGCUUUUAAGGAAUGCUAGAUCGCCAUUUUUUCCACCCAUACAUGAAAAAUAGUUUUGAGCUCUGUGCAAAACUAUUUACCACUACUGCUGCAAUGGAGGAUCUAGCAUACCUAAGACAACUGUCAUCUAUACUUGGAUCAGACUCCCCCCACUCUCUACUUUUACAUGAAAAAUUAUCCAUACAAAAAUUUAAAAAUUUGUAUGGAGCGUAGACUGGCCAAACUACAAUCAGGCGCUCAUCAGUUUAUUGUAAGGUGGAUCACGUCAAGCUGUUGAGCUAUUAACGAAAGAGAGCGGAAGCAAAAUUUUGAUAGCUGACAGGUAUCAGGGCUCUUGAAUAUCUGGUGUUAGCAGUGGCGUAGCCAGAAAUUUACUCUGGGAGGAGUUUCCAACGAUCGAUGAAACCUUUUUCAUUAUUUGACACUCACAUUCCGUAAACAACAAUCAAUAUUGAGGCAAUAUAUGUUUAAUUUUAGUCGCGGAGGUAAACUAGCGGCGCAGCCGAAAAUUUUUUCGACAGAAAGGGUUUGAUACUGAAAAUUUGUUCCACAAAUUUUGGGGGUGAACACCCUCUCGUGGCUACGUCAGUGGAUGUGAGUAAUCUUACAAAGUAUGACUGCUCUGACAUUCAUACACGCAACGGAAAUCUACGUGCUUCGGUAGAAAUCGAACCCACGGCUCUCAAUUUCCUAGACGGGCACUUCUUUCCUCCAAGCUACGGAGCCACUUGACCAUCUGUGUCCCCUGAAGGCACAAAACUGAACUAGAUUCCCUUAAUGCACAUGAUUUGUUCCUUUCAACAAUCCUAAUUAUCUUUGGAUGGAAUUAGAUAGAUAUCUACGAGAAAUUGACAUUUGUAGGGUGCUCAAGGUCACACUACCGUAAUAGGUCGGCCGAGGACCGACCCGUCGGGAUUCCGACGGUACACUAUUUGUCACACCGAUCAGUCAUUGGAUUGACAGUGCCCAAAACUCUCGACAAUUUUCGAAAAUAAAGGUGUCACUUACACCUCUUUGUAUCUGCGUAUCUGGGCCCCUCAAUUACAAAUCUGCCUGAAAUUAAUCUUCGAAUUGCUAGAAUUCCAUAGACAUUCUAUGACAAAUGUUUAAAUGAUUUCAAAAUAAUUCUCCACGAAAUUCACCAGAACUAAUAUAUAAAAUCUACUAAGAAUAUAAGUAAUAGCAAUUUAUGUGGAAAAUUCUAAAUACACCGAUAUUACCAAAGUUUUUUUUUGCACAUUUUUUUAUUUUUUGAAAUAACACUUGUACAAUAUUGCGCGAGAUUCUUCAAAGUUUAUCCUUAAAAAUCCUUUUCCAAGCUUCUCGUCGUAAAAUUUAACCAGUAAUCCUGCGAAGUUCUGGCAUUAUUCUCAAUUUUCAACAAUGAACCAAAACCAAAACAGUUUUGUUCAGAGUUUCCCAUUGCUCAUGUGUACAUAAAUGUGACAGCGAGCCUCCCACCGAAUUGUCUCCCAGCUCUUCAAAAUCGUAGUGUGCUGCGCUGCUAGGAGGCUCACGAAAAUCUGGUAGGUGCGAGCUAGGCUCAUAGCUCCCGGGGAGCUCGUCUCAUGUGCUGCGUGAGCUGUUGGUAUCUAAGGUGAAAAACAACUUCUUGGUAACGAAGAACCCCAACAACUUUUUUCCGUACACAACUCAAGUGUCUGGUUGGUCUAUGCGAUACGACUAGGGACUCUCAAUGCAAAGGUUAAGGUUUCAAUUCUCGUUCGUUUAGGAAGUUUUUGUCGUGAAAUUUUCUAAUUUAAUCAGCACAUGAGACGAAUCUCAUGAGACACAUCUUGAGAAAAAUGAGGCGCACAAGUUUCCGUCUCAAAAUGUACAGUGCUCCUGGGAGCUCGCUUGCAAUGUGGCUCCUGUACAUGGGAUUACAGCACGUGUACAUCAACUCUGGUUUUGUUUGAUUAGAAUAUUUAACGAUGUUCUUAGAAGAAAGUCUAGUUUGUUCUUCUACGAGCUUCUGUAAAUAUCUGUCCAACUAAUUUUGUAAUAUUUAUUGAAUCAUCCCUCGUCGGGUUUUGAGCUGUCAAACAGUUGCCCAGCUGUCAAAAUAUGAUUAAAAAUCGCUUCGAAAUGAUUUUUAGUAUCAAAAUAUGGUCUUAAAAUCUGAAAACAAUCAUAGUGGCUUAGAAGAAAGUGCUCUGUCGUAUACAGUUUAAAAAUUAAUAUACAGUCAGGUCUUUUUUUACGCGGUUUUCAUUUACGCGGCCGCGUAAAUGAAAACUCCAUAUAAAAAAAAUUUCAUCGUCUUAUUUUUGCAUGAUUCGUCGAGAAAUGGUGAGACUUUUUUUUACGCGGUUUUGCGAAUUUUGAACUGAGUUUUUUUUACGCGGUACGUAUCCCCUGCGUAAAAAAAACCUGACUGUAUUAUAAAAUUACCCAUAUUUUUCUUAUUUUUCUUCUUGGCGUAAGGGCCCAACUACAACAAAACCCAUUGGCGUAUCUAGCUUUUUCUUUUUUCCUACUCUCUCUCCUGAAUAAACAAGAUAAAGUUAAGGAUCCUGAGCAGGAACGAAUAAUCAACACAUAACUGCAGCAUACCAAAGUCAGGUAUUAUACUAAGACAAGAUAUUGGUCCGUUACCCAGGUUUUGAAAAUAAUUUAUUUUGAUAUUUUGUGUACCUUAACGAGUUAUUGGUUUGGUGUUAAGGACUGCUUGAGGUAUUAUUCAAUUAUGGGAAAAUCAUUAUUUUAUGGAAAAAUCGCCAAUUUUUAUUUAGGUGUUGUCAUACCUGAUGUAAUUAUUCUGUUGGUAAAAGUUAUUGAUUUAUCACCGAUUAGUGAUCCAACGGCUUUUUGUUUUGUUUUAUUAGCAGCACUGUAGCUGCUGUCUUGGCUGCUGUUGUUUCUGGGAAGUGGUGA